AAGGCUUGCUUCCACUGAGAAGAUAGUGGCGAACGGGUGAGUAACACGUGGGUAACCUGCCCAUAAGAAGGGGGAUAACAUCCGGAAACGGGUGCUAAUACGCAUAGUUUUCUUGAUUGCAUGAUUGAGAAAGGAAAGACGGCCUUUGUGCUGUCGCUUAUGGAUGGACCCGCGGCGUAUUAGUUAGUUGGUGAGGUAACGGCUCACCAAGACGAUGAUACGUAGCCGACCUGAGAGGGUGAUCGGCCACAUUGGGACUGAGACACGGCCCAAACUCCUACGGGAGGCAGCAGUAGGGAAUCUUCCGCAAUGGACGAAAGUCUGACGGAGCAACGCCGCGUGAGUGAAGAAGGUUUUUCCGGAUCGUAAAACUCUGUUGUCAGAGAAGAACAAGUUGGAGAGUAACUGCUCCAGCCUUGACGGUAUCUGACCAGAAAGCCACGGCUAACUACGUGCCAGCAGCAGC
Molecule: ribosomal RNA, 466 nt
Filed under: uncultured bacterium
Lineage: Bacteria
Description: bacterial SSU rRNA
Rfam family: Bacterial small subunit ribosomal RNA
Source: RNAcentral